GUCGCUGCCCGGAACUGAGCCGUUUCGAGAAGACUGGGGACUGCCGACUUAGGGCCCUCACGGGUUUUUUGUCAGUGGAAACCAAUUUAAUCGCAGCGGCUUGAACCGGGCAA
RNAcentral lists this ribosomal RNA (113 nucleotides) under uncultured eukaryote. RNAcentral's name for it is "partial small subunit ribosomal RNA". The record is from RNAcentral.